Molecule: ribosomal RNA, 450 nt
Filed under: uncultured bacterium
Lineage: Bacteria
Description: partial 16S ribosomal RNA
Rfam family: Bacterial small subunit ribosomal RNA
Source: RNAcentral
GUGGGGAAUAUUCCGCAAUGGACGAAAGUCUGACGGAGCAACGCCGCGUGAGUGAUGAAGGUUUUCGGACUGUAAAGCUCUGUUGUUUAGGACGAAAGUGCCUGUUGCGAAUAGUUACAGGUAUUGACGGUACUGAACGAGGAAGCCACGGCUAACUACGUGCCAGCAGCCGCGGUAAUACGUAGGUGGCAAGCGUUGUCCGGAAUUAUUGGGCGUAAAGAGCAUGUAGGCGGGAAUCUAAGUCUGUUGUGAAAAUGCGGGGCUCAACCCCGUAUUGCGAUGGAAACUGGGUUUCUUGAGUGCAGGAGAGGAAAGGGGAAUUCCCAGUGUAGCGGUGAAAUGCGUAGAUAUUGGGAGGAACACCAGUGGCGAAGGCGCCUUUCUGGACUGUGUCUGACGCUGAGAUGCGAAAGCCAGGGUAGCGAACGGGAUUAGAUACCCGAGUAGUCC